UACGGAGGGUGCAAGCGUUAUCCGGAAUCACUGGGCGUAAAGGGCGCGUAGGUGGUCUGUUAAGUCUGGCGUUAAAGCCUGGGGCUCAACCCCAGAUCAGCGUUGGAUACUGGCAGGCUAGACGGUUGGAGAGGCGAGUGGAAUUACCAGUGUAGCGGUGGAAUGCGUAGAUACUGGUAGGAACACCCAUUGCGAAGGCAGCUCGCUGGACAACACGUGACACUGAGGCGCGAAAGUGUGGGGAGCAAACCGGAUUAGAUACCCCUGUA
Molecule: ribosomal RNA, 269 nt
Filed under: uncultured prokaryote
Description: partial 16S ribosomal RNA
Rfam family: Bacterial small subunit ribosomal RNA
Source: RNAcentral